Molecule: ribosomal RNA, 417 nt
Filed under: Weissella cibaria
Lineage: Bacteria; Bacillati; Bacillota; Bacilli; Lactobacillales; Lactobacillaceae
Description: bacterial SSU rRNA
Rfam family: Bacterial small subunit ribosomal RNA
Source: RNAcentral
ACGUGGGAAACCUACCUCUUAGCAGGGGAUAACAUUUGGAAACAGAUGCUAAUACCGUAUAACAAUAGCAACCGCAUGGUUGCUACUUAAAAGAUGGUUCUGCUAUCACUAAGAGAUGGUCCCGCGGUGCAUUAGUUAGUUGGUGAGGUAAUGGCUCACCAAGACGAUGAUGCAUAGCCGAGUUGAGAGACUGAUCGGCCACAAUGGGACUGAGACACGGCCCAUACUCCUACGGGAGGCAGCAGUAGGGAAUCUUCCACAAUGGGCGAAAGCCUGAUGGAGCAACGCCGCGUGUGUGAUGAAGGGUUUCGGCUCGUAAAACACUGUUGUAAGAGAAGAAUGACAUUGAGAGUAACUGUUCAAUGUGUGACGGUAUCUUACCAGAAAGGAACGGCUAAAUACGUGCCAGCAGCCGCG